This 211-nucleotide long non-coding RNA is filed under the name Anser brachyrhynchus (Pink-footed goose). RNAcentral describes it as "lncRNA (ENSABRG00000010093.1)". Lineage: Eukaryota; Metazoa; Chordata; Aves; Anseriformes; Anatidae. The record is from RNAcentral.
AAAACACUGAUGCAAGAAAUCAAGGGUCACUUUUCUGCUGUGGAUGUUGUACCUCCCUUAUUAUGAAAAGCCUGAAUUUCAGGAAAAAAGCAACAGAGAUAGGAUUAAUGAAGAAUCAACUGAUGCCUUCAUUACUGUGCUAAUGAACCACCUUCCAUCUACUGCUUGCUGUGAAUCUGCUCCCAUUGCCCCAGAUCUUAACUCUAUGUAA